UGAGGUCAUCCAACACGCAGUCCAACAUUCAGCAUGUAUGCCAGACUAGAAUAACUUAAUUAAAUCCUUCCUCUGAGGAUUAAGAGGGUUAUUCUGACAGGCUUUUACAAGCCUGGGCAUGCUUGCAUGGCACAGAGGAGAGCGGUGCAGAGACAAGGAGGCAGCAGAGCAGCUCGAGGCAGCCCUGAUACAACAGUGCAAUGCUUCCAAUGGAGCCUGCUGGGAGACAGCCAACAUCUGCAGGCUGCAGCACUCCAGGCUGUGCCCAAGGACUGGCCCAGGGUGACCCCUAAAUCUGAGCUGGACACAGUGGGGGCUGGAGAUGUGCCACUGUGCGAGACGCCCCAGGACUGACCACGCCAGAGCAGGGACACCAGCAAAGACACGACAGCCACUGGUGACCAUGCUGCAGCUGGGAUACCCCAAAACAAAGAGCAGCAGAGGAAAGUCAGCAAGAAGCAGAUAACUGCAGAAAAAAGACCCCCAAAGCACAUGGAGUAACAGACAGAAAUCAUCAUGCCCAUAACCACAAACCUCCUGUACCUCACAGGCAGAGCUGAGACAAAAGCAAAUGCCAGCUGGCUUACAGAUGGAUCCACCACUGGCCAAGGCCAAGCUCAUCAGUGACAGUGUUGGCACCUCUGGGACAACAAAUUUAACAAGUGGGAAAGUUGCUGUGCAGCAGCAACAGCAGCCAAAGAGAGGAGUCUCUGCUCCACCAGAGAUCCACACGCAGCCCAUGGAGCUCCUGUGCUGGGGCUAGUGGCUGCCUGAAGGAGGCUGUGACCCUGUGGGAAGCUCACAUGGCAGCAGGCCUCUGGCAGGACCUGUGGGCCCCUGGAGAGAGGAGGCCACGCUUCCAGUCUUUGUGGGGCACUGACACUGGAGCAGGCUGUUCCUGAAAGACUUCACCUCUUGGAAAGGAAUCCAUGCUGGAGCGGUUUGUGAAGAACUGCAGCUGCUGGGAAGGGCUCACGCUGGAGGACUGUCUCCCAUGGAAGGGACUCCACACUGGAGCAGAAGCGUGUGAAGAGUCCUCCCUCUGAGGAGGAAGGAUUGGCAGAGAUAACGUGAUAAAGUGACUGCAGCCCCUGUUCCCUGUCCCCCUGUACCUGUUGGCAGGAGGAGGUAGAGAAUUUGGAAUAAAAUUAAGCCUGGAAAGAA
Long non-coding RNA from Passer domesticus (house sparrow), 1164 nucleotides. RefSeq lists it as uncharacterized. The transcript has 2 exons. The record is from RefSeq and is a predicted model, not a curated record. NCBI's taxonomy places the organism in Eukaryota, Metazoa, Chordata, Aves, Passeriformes, Passeridae.